Molecule: ribosomal RNA, 499 nt
Filed under: uncultured bacterium
Lineage: Bacteria
Description: partial 16S ribosomal RNA
Rfam family: Bacterial small subunit ribosomal RNA
Source: RNAcentral
GACGAACGCUGGCGGCGUGCUUAACACAUGCAAGUCGAACGGGCCUGUCUUCUUUUUUGGGGGUGGGUUGAGUGGCGAACGGGUGAGUAUCACGUGAGUAACCUGCCCUUCGGUCCUGGAUAACCGCUUGAAAGGGCGGCUAAUACGGGGUGGUCCGGUUGGUCCGCAUGGGCUGGUCGGGAUAGAUUCACUGUUUUUGGUGUUUCGGCGGGGGAUGGGCUCGCGGCCUAUCAGCUUGUUGGUGGGGUGAUGGCCUACCAAGGCGGUGACGGGUAGCCGGCCUGAGAGGGUGGGCGGCCACACUGGGAUUGAGAUACGGCCCAGACUCCUGCGGGAGGCAGCAGUGGGGGGUAUUGCACAAUGGGCGGAAGCCUGAUGCAGCGACGUCGCGUGAGGGAUGGAGGCCUUCGGGUUGUGAACCUCUGUUUCCGGUGGUGAAGGCCCUGUCCGUGUGGUGGGGUUGACGGUAGCCGGGGAUGAAGCGCCGGCUAACUACGUG